UACGGGGGGGGCAAGCGUUGUUCGGAAUUACUGGGCGUAAAGGGCUCGUAGGUGGUCAACUAAGUCGGACGUGAAAUCCCUCGGCUUAACCGGGGAACUGCGUCCGAUACUGGAUGACUUGAGUUCGGGAGAGGGAUGCGGAAUUCCAGGUGUAGCGGUGAAAUGCGUAGAUAUCAUCAGGAACACCGGAGGCGAAGGCGGCUCACUGGGGGUCUUCUGACGCUGAGGAACGAAAGCCAGGGGAGCGAACGGG
This 253-nucleotide ribosomal RNA is filed under the name uncultured bacterium. Its description in RNAcentral is "partial 16S ribosomal RNA". It matches the Rfam family "Bacterial small subunit ribosomal RNA", at positions 524 to 776 of the family's 1533-position model. The record is from RNAcentral.